Gossypium raimondii (Peruvian cotton) is the source of this 145-nucleotide non-coding RNA. The record is from Rfam. NCBI's taxonomy places the organism in Eukaryota, Viridiplantae, Streptophyta, Magnoliopsida, Malvales, Malvaceae.
UAUUAAAAAUUUCAUCUAUUUUUACUAUUAAAAACUGGCGUGGCAAACAAAAUAACCAGGCAAUUGCACCUGGUGUGCGGGCGUACCUCAAACUGGCAUACAUGAACCAGCUUUUAACAAUAGAAAAUUGAUGAAAUUUUUAACA